UAUACUCUGUUCCACUAGAGAAGGAACUCGCCUCGCAAUACUACUAACAGCAUUUUACAACCUAACUCACUAUUUCCUUCACUCAAACACAGGAGACAGCGUGUGUAGCACUACAAAUACAAAUUAUGUAUGAUUAAGUUAUUCAUCACUGUCUGUUUCGCCAACAUAUUUUUCCAAUCACCAAUACAGCCAUGACACAUACUAAACAAUUGUCAUGAAUAACUGUAGCAAAGGAAACCAACGGGUAUGAAGAAAAAUUGUCAAUGUCCAACAUGACAUUAGUCAACAUCUGGUAUUUCAAGACACCAACUGAUAAACAGCUAUUCCCUGUCCAAUUUGCGGUGAAACACGAUUUCUGGUUCACCUGAGAAGUAGAUCGUUAUGAAUAUGUAGCCACGAAAGCAGUGGUGGUAUUUUGGUGUUGUGUGGUUGAGAGGGCAUGAAGGUAAUUUUUCUAUGGUAGUAUAAUUUUGCACCACAGACAACCGUCAGAAAUAAUAUUAUAUUUUAUAGGUAACUCAAUUAAUAUUAUA
Molecule: long non-coding RNA, 533 nt
Organism: Acyrthosiphon pisum (pea aphid)
Lineage: Eukaryota; Metazoa; Arthropoda; Insecta; Hemiptera; Aphididae
Exons: 3
Source: RefSeq, a predicted model, not a curated record